Molecule: ribosomal RNA, 545 nt
Filed under: Longpotamon wanzaiense
Lineage: Eukaryota; Metazoa; Arthropoda; Malacostraca; Decapoda; Potamidae
Description: partial 16S ribosomal RNA
Rfam family: Bacterial large subunit ribosomal RNA
Source: RNAcentral
GUUUGUUUGGAGUUAUAAAGAAUUUAACCUGCCCCCUGAUUAAUUAUUAAAGGGCCGCAGUAUUAUAACUGUGCAAAGGUAGCAUAAUCAUUAGGUUUUUAAUUGAAAUCUCGUAUGAAUGGUUGGACAAAAGAAAAACUCUCUUUAUAUUAAGUUUUGAAUUUAACUUUUAAGUGAAAAGGCUUAAAUGUUCUAAAGGGACGAUAAGACCCUAUAAAACUUUACAUUGUCAUUAAUUUUGAUUGAAUUUAUGAAAUAAGAAUUUUAUUUGGUUAUUUGUUAUAUUGGGGAGAUAUAAGUAAAAUAUUUUUUUAACUGCUUUGAUAGUUAUACAAUUAUAAAUGGGUAAGUAGAAGAUCCUUUUUUAAGAUUAAUAGAUUAAGUUACUUUAGGGAUAACAGUGUGAUUUCUUUUGAGAGUUCUUAUCGAAAGAGAAGAUUGCAACCUCGAUGUUGAAUUAAAAUAUCUAUAUAAUGGAGAGGUUAUAUAAGAAGGUCUGUUCGACCUUGAAAUUUUUACAUGAUUUGAGUUCAAACCGGUGUAAG